ACUCAAUAGAUACCCUGGUAGUCCUGGCAGUAAACGGUGCACGUUUGGUGUGGGAGGAAUCGACCCCUUCCGUGCCGGAGCUAAACGCGUUAAACGUGCCGCCUGGGGAGUACGGUCGCAAGAUUAAAACUCAAAGAAAUUGACGGGGGCCCGCACAAGCGGUGGAGUAUGUGGCUUAAUUCGAUGCAACGCGAAGAACCUUACCUGGGCUUGACAUGCAUCUCUAAGUCGGUGAAACGCCGGCGAGUCCCGCAAGGGACAAUUUGCACAGGUGCUGCAUGGCUGUCGUCAGCUCGUGUCGUGAG
This 305-nucleotide ribosomal RNA is filed under the name uncultured bacterium. Its description in RNAcentral is "bacterial SSU rRNA". It matches the Rfam family "Bacterial small subunit ribosomal RNA", at positions 770 to 1071 of the family's 1533-position model. The record is from RNAcentral.